Molecule: RNase P RNA, 220 nt
Filed under: Synechococcus sp. TMED155
Lineage: Bacteria; Bacillati; Cyanobacteriota; Cyanophyceae; Synechococcales; Synechococcaceae
Description: partial RNase P RNA component class A
Rfam family: Bacterial RNase P class A
About the family: Ribonuclease P (RNase P) is a ubiquitous endoribonuclease, found in archaea, bacteria and eukarya as well as chloroplasts and mitochondria. Its best characterised activity is the generation of mature 5'-ends of tRNAs by cleaving the 5'-leader elements of precursor-tRNAs.
Source: RNAcentral
CCCUUUGGCACAGGCAAGGGUGCAAAGGUGCGGUAAGAGCGCACCAGCAGCAUCGAGAGGUGCUGGCUCGGUAAACCCCGGCCGGGAGCAAGGCCCAGGGACCAUGGUUGGCCAUUCACCGGUCCCGCCAACAGCGCGCCGCUUGAGGCCGCCGGUAACGGCGGUCCCAGACAGAUGAUCACCCCUCGAACAGAACCCGGCUUACGUCCUGCUUUCCGCC